UCAUUGAUGGUAACAUCUUCUCUAAUAAGGUUAGAAAAUGCUACUGCAUAGAAUCCUCUUCAUAUCGAGAAAUGGAGACACGAUUAACCAUGAAAACAAAUUCGACAUCUGAAUCAAAACAAGCAAAUGGGAGCUGAUUCGAAGUCAAGGGGGGAUGCUUUCGGGUGGCUCAUUCUAUCUGUACCUCUUGUUUUUGUAAAGAAAGCCCAACAUUCGAAGGGAGGUGCUCCCUCCUCAAAAGAAAUUCCACGUCUCAAUAACUAAAUGUUAAACGAAUUUCUAGGGUUCAUAUCACUCUACAACGUUCCUGUCAAGACCAAAUGGAGAUUCGAGACCACUAGAGAUCAAUGUAGCUAUUCAAAUAUUUGAUUUUCGCUACUCCUAGCAUACAAUACUGGGCCCAAAGACACCAUGCCAUGAGAAUCAACUGACUGCUCAACAUCUGGAUUGGCUUCUCUCAUUAUAGAAUCCAGCAACUCAGUGGCAGCAUAGUGACGCUCUUCUUUGAAAUACCAAGCGUAAAAGAUCUGUGCUCCACCUGUGGAGAGAGCUGGUUACACCACCGGAGUCGAGAAGACUUGCCAGACCUCCCAGGAUGGGACUAAUUCCUAGGGCCGUGCUUCUGGACAAGCUUCUGCAAUGAGUCAUCUUCCUUGGGGCUCCACGGUCCUUUGAUCUGAUCCAUAUCUUUCCUUGAAGAAGCCAUGGAUGAUUGGUAGAACUUGAUUCUCCAUUCAUGGUUCCAAACCCUAACUCUAUACUACAAGAAUAAGGUCAAAGCUUCCCAUAAGGGUAGUUUGGUCAUUUAGAUAAUAUGAGACUGCUGACAUCAUCACUUAGCGAUUUAAUUCUAUUUGAAUGAAUUUAUUAGAAAUUUUUUGAUGAAA
This is a long non-coding RNA of Macadamia integrifolia, 887 nucleotides long. RefSeq lists it as uncharacterized. The transcript is spliced from 2 exons. NCBI's taxonomy places the organism in Eukaryota, Viridiplantae, Streptophyta, Magnoliopsida, Proteales, Proteaceae. The record is from RefSeq and is a predicted model, not a curated record.